Molecule: long non-coding RNA, 224 nt
Filed under: Bos taurus (domestic cattle)
Lineage: Eukaryota; Metazoa; Chordata; Mammalia; Artiodactyla; Bovidae
Description: long non-coding RNA NONBTAT001751
Source: RNAcentral
UCCUACCUACCUUCCUGGCCACUUGCAUACCCUAACACAGACACACCACUUCCUGACCGAGUUGUAUAUAUAAUAUUUCCCACUUUUAUUAUUAGAUUGUAGAAAAUUUUUCAUUGUUUUCCUUUGUUAAGAAAAUGGAAACUUGAAAAUGGUGAUAAAAAUUGAUAUAUAUGUGAUAUUUGCAUUAUUAAAACCCUUUGCAGAUCUAAAGUCUCAGGGCUACA